RNAcentral lists this RNase P RNA (299 nucleotides) under Candidatus Poseidoniaceae archaeon. RNAcentral's name for it is "RNase P RNA component". It matches the Rfam family "Archaeal RNase P". From Rfam's summary of the family: Ribonuclease P (RNase P) is a ubiquitous endoribonuclease, found in archaea, bacteria and eukarya as well as chloroplasts and mitochondria. Its best characterised activity is the generation of mature 5'-ends of tRNAs by cleaving the 5'-leader elements of precursor-tRNAs. The record is from RNAcentral. Lineage: Archaea; Methanobacteriati; Thermoplasmatota; Candidatus Poseidoniia; Candidatus Poseidoniales; Candidatus Poseidoniaceae.
AGGUGUAGGAGGAUCGCUGACAGGGUUCGACCCUGAGGAAAGUCCCCUCUCCGCAGUGUAGAUGGCGAAAUAAUUCGUAGUUAGAGAUGACUAGGGCUAUGCAGAAGAAACGAACGAGGCUAGGUGUGUACAAUGAAUCCACAAGGACGAGAUUGCCUAACCCUUGAUGAGACGAGCACCCCCAUCGGAGCAAGUCCAAACAGUCCCGCUAUGGCGACACGCAUAGGGACGGGUAGGAUGCAAAGUUGAAUGCGGUCAGCCGGAAACGGUGAACAGAAAGGGGCUUAUUCCCUACUCCU